RNAcentral lists this ribosomal RNA (484 nucleotides) under uncultured bacterium. Its description in RNAcentral is "partial 16S ribosomal RNA". It matches the Rfam family "Bacterial small subunit ribosomal RNA", at positions 30 to 507 of the family's 1533-position model. The record is from RNAcentral.
AUUGAACGCUGGCGGCAGGCCUAACACAUGCAAGUCGAGCGGAUGAAGGGAGCUUGCUCCUGGAUUCAGCGGCGGACGGGUGAGUAAUGCCUAGGAAUCUGCCUGGUAGUGGGGGAUAACGUCCGGAAACGGGCGCUAAUACCGCAUACGUCCGGAGGGAGAAAGGGGGGGAUCUUGGGACCUCACGCUACAAGAUGAGCCUAGGUCGGAUUAGCUAGUUGGUGGGGUAAAGGCCUACCAAGGCGACGAUCCGUAACUGGUCUGAGAGGAUGAUCAGUCACACUGGAACUGAGACACGGUCCAGACUCCUACGGGAGGCAGCAGUGGGGAAUAUUGGACAAUGGGCGAAAGCCUGAUCCAGCCAUGCCGCGUGUGUGAAGAAGGUCUUCGGAUUGUAAAGCACUUUAAGUUGGGAGGAAGGGCAGUAAGUUAAUACCUUGCUGUUUUGACGUUACCAACAGAAUAAGCACCGGCUAACUUCGUG